ACGUCUGUCAGCCAAGCGCAACAGGCGAGAGCUAUUUAGAGAGCGGGCCAAUCUAUUGCUCUGGCAACGGUACUGCUAGCGAACGUCACCCACCCUCACAGUUUUGACAGGAGCGGGAGGAGGGAAAGGGUACAUCCAAAAGUUAUACUUCCAUCGAAAUGGCUGGAACACGGGGCGGUAGAUCCCGAGGAAAUCGUGUGGAUGAUGUGGAAAUGCGCCGACUUCGCAGUGAUUUAGAUCGGAACUUCAAACCGAUCUUUGACAGACAUGGGCCGGAGGGUGUGGCGAUGGGGGAGCUGCAGCGAGAGAUGCAGGAGGAGGGCAUCACAGACAGGAUCAGCAAGCAGCGACUGAACCAGCUGCUGGACCGAGCCGACUACAACGAUGACAACAUGAUCACAUACACCGAGUUCGUCAAUCUUAUGACCAGCAAUGAGGGUCUGACAAAGUCUGAGAGGUCGGCUUUCACAAGCGUCCUUGGGGCAGCCAUUGCCAACAUCGUGCCCCAGAGUAUGAGGAAGGACUUCCUCGCCAACUACAACUGCCGGCCACCACCACUCUUCAUCCUCCUCAUCAGCACCGCCGAGAUUGUGAUAUUUGGUGUUUACGCUGCGGAGUUGGCCAAGACAAGUAGUCCUGUGACUGCCACGAGUGGAGUGCCCAUGUACAGUCCCCUCGUGUACACACCGCGGCGCAGAUACGAGGCCUGGAGAUAUCUCACAUACAUGUUUAUACAUCAAGGAUGGCUGCAUAUUGUAUCGAACAUGGUGUUCCAGCUGUUGUUUGGCCUGCCGCUGGAGAUUGUACACAAGUGGUGGAGAGUCAUGGUGGUGUACUUGUGUGGUGUUCUAGCAGGUUCCCUGGCCCACUCUGUGACAGACCAUUCCGUGGCGCUGGUGGGAGCUAGUGGAGGGGUGUACGCUCUCUUGGGGGCUCAUUUAGCUGCAGUAGCUACGAACUGGAAGGAGAUGAACUACAAGUGCUGUGAGGGGAACAUUGUGCGUGUGAUGCUGAGUGCGCCGGUCCGACUCGUCAUCAUCCUGGUGCUUGUUGUGCCAGAUACCAGUCUUGCCAUCUACAGACGAGUCACAGCACCAGAGGACCAGAAGGUGGGAGUGUCUGCUCAUGUUGGAGGCUUCCUCACAGGUCUGUUGCUUGGAAUUCCUGUCCUGAAGAACAUCAAGAAGCUGCCCUGGGAGACCACCCUCGGGUGGGUCACAAUGGCCAUAUUCCUGCUGCUCGUGGCUUUUGCCGUUCUCUUCAAUGGUCUUUACAAAGGCUACCCAGCUACAGAUUGGAGUUAAGUUUGCUCACAGAGGCCGUGUGCAAUUUGAACAUUUUAGAUUUUAUACGACAUUUUGCAUAAUUGUACAUACCCAUAAUAUUUUAUACAUUUUUAAACAUAUCCCUUUACUUUCACCACUUUCUCAGGAUGUGUUUUUGAGAGCUAAUGUGCAUGUCUCAUCACUGUUAUAUUCCUCCCUGUAUAUGUCAUGUGUGCCUUACCUUAAACUUGUCUAAGAUCUGAAUCAAAACUUCCAAGAUGAGAUAAAAUUAUUACAUCUUGUGAUUUCGUGGCAUAUGUGACAUAGAGAAUGUUAUAGACCUAUUUCUUGGUUUUUUCCGAAUGUAAUACCAAGGUAAUCAUUUCUAUAUAUGGAGACCCAUGUUUAGUAUGGUGUGUGGUAUGUUGCCUCGACAAACUUAAUGGAGUACGUGUCAAAUUUCACCACACCGAUGUCACAGGGUUCCACAGAUCAGGAAUACAGUAAAUGUUUUUCUAACAUUUCUUUUUAGCUGGUUCACAGUUUAAUUUCUGAUUUCAAAGCACUGUUGAUGAAAGUAUAAACGAAAAACAUGUCUUUUGAGUUAUCUGUGAAAAGUAUGCAGAUUUUGGUAAAAUAAAAUAAAUGGAACGAAAGAGGCAUACAGCAUGGAGAGUGAAUGAGUGAAAGAGUUCCUUCCCUUUUCCUAGGAUUUCCUUUGAAGAGUUAUAGCAUGUGACAUCCUGUUGAAAUCAAAUGCCAAGCCAUAUUAAGACAAUUGUUGAACAGUUAUUCUAUUUUCUUAACUAUAAUGUUAUGCAAAACCUUGGUGUGUUGAUGUUGUGUUUGCAAUAGAUGCAUAAUAUUUAUUGUUUUUAUGAUCACUGUGAAGGAUGACAGUGAUGGAAUGUAGAUUUCUCGGUUGAUGCUCAGUUUGUUUCAGGACAAUCCUUGUGUUUUAUAUCAGUAUUGAAGAAUGUAGAACUGAUUUGUAUGCAUUUAGGAUUGGAAAUAAGUAAAGGGAUGGAAAAAUCAUGAUUUGCAUUAUCAGGUAUUUUUACUGUAGUGGAUUUUGAUGAUGAUGCAGAGGUCAAGUAGUGACUCAGAGGUCAAGUAGUAACACAGAGGUCAAGUGACACAGAGGUAAAUAAUCCACAGGUCAAGUAGUGACUCAGAGGUCAAGUAUUUAAAGAGGUCAAGUAGUAACAGAGGUCAAGUAGUAACACAGGUCAAGUAGAAACACAGGUCAAGUAGUAACACAGGUCAAGUAGUAACAGAGGUCAAGUAGUAAAAGGUCAAGGAGUAACACAGAGGUCAAAAUCCACAGGUCAAGUAGUGACACAGAGGUCAAGUGACACAGAGGUCAAGUGACACAGAGGUAAAUAAUCCACAGGUCAAGUAGUGACUCAGAGGUCAAGUAUUUAAAGAGGUCAAGUAGUAACAGAGGUCAAGUAGUAACACAGGUCAAGUAGUAACACAGGUCAAGUAGUAACAGAGGUCAAGUAGUAACAGAGGUCAAGGAGUGACACAGAGGUCAAGUAGUAACAGAGGUCAAGUAGUAAAAGAGGUCAAGGAGUAACACAGAGGUCAAGUGACACAGAGGUCAAUAAUCCACAGGUCAAGUAGUGACACAGAGGUCAAGUGACACAGAGGUCAAUAAUCCACAGGUCAAGUAGUGACACAGAGGUCAAGUGACACAGAGGUCAAUAAUCCACAGGUCAAGUAGUGACACAGAGGUCAAGUGACACAGAGGUCAAUAAUCCACAGGUCAAGUAGUGACACAGAGGUCAAGUGACACAGAGGUCAAUAAUCCACAGGUCAUGUAGUGACAAAAAGGUCAAGAGGUAACAGGACACAUACUUUCAAAGAGGUCAAGUUGUGAAGGUCAAGUAAUGACACAGAGGUCACUGACACAAUCAGAAGUCAAGGCAACACUAAGACGUCCCGGAAGACUGUUGGAGUCAAUGUUAGACAGGUAUUUUCAAGAAAUGGGGAAAUAAGUCUUGAGUUGAUAAUUGUUGAUAUACCAAGACGGGAUUAUAAGAUGUUUUUGUUUCUAAUUUGUUCUCAUAUGACAAUACUUUAUGAUCAACUCAGAGGUAAUGAAGUUAAAGUUUCAUUAACUAGCUGGCCAUGUGUCGAACACUCUGUUUGGUUGUAGUGUAGUCAGAUGGACCCUCUGAAGUGGUCGGAAGUCCGGUGAUGUUGAAGUAAAUUGUUGAACAUGUUUGCUGGACUGUACUUGCAGUUUCAAGUCUGUUUGAUGUUUUGCCUGAAAAACUCAUUUAGACUCAAUAUAUUUGUAUAAUUAUUUUCUAUAGUUUUGUAGUGACCGAGACCUUAUACACUGUCAGUGUAACUGUGUAUUACUUAAACGAUCUGAUGUAGUAUUAUGAGAUAGCUUGAUAUUUUCUCUGUACUCAGUGUUGAACAUGUGUAUCUGGUAUUUUGGUGUGAACAAGUUACUUAAACAGUAGGAGGCAUGAAAGAAGUUUGUAAUCUGUUGGAAAAAUGUAUUUCUUUUGGUAUAUUUUUAAAUGAAAAGCAUGCGUGUAAAUGUAGCCCAUUUCUGAUGUGAACAACAGCAGAAGUUCUGAUAAUUCACUGUUCAUGUUUUGUCAUUAAAAGGUUGACGCUAUGCAAGUGACAGUAUCAUAUAACAGCAUUAUCAGAUAGUAAGAGGCCCCUCACCAGAUUGAAACAAUGAGUUUUGCCUUUUCAAAGCCAUUUCUGGUACAUUGCUUUCUACAACGGAAAGCUCUAACUUUCUAACAGCUAAUGGCUGUUGUGAUGCUGAAAAGGUUUUAGUUCCAUUCUCUCAUGGUGUAAGAUAUCGAUUUGUCACUUGUCAUCGAACUUCCACCAUUUUGCCAGUCAAAUUCUUGCCAUGUCAACCAUCAUAUUUGUUACGGAAUUAAUAAGCAUAUGUGACAUUUUUGUAUUUUCAUUAUAUAAUAUCCCACAUGAAACUGUUUCUUUCCCAACAUGACACCACUUUGUCUGCUUGUGUCUACCUAUUGAUAUUUGUAUUGUCAAAGGUGUUUUGAGAAUUUUACUAUUUUUCUACUACUUUUCUUUUUUUUAUCAUCUAUUAAGAGCACAUAAAUUUUGCUUUUUAAUAUGCAUAUGGUUGAGUUUCAUAAGGGUUAUGAAUAAAAAUGUAUGUUGUUACCUGUUUAGUUGAUACUUGUAUAUCUGUCAGCAUCCGAGAGACUGCCCUGAUUUGUGUGCACAUGCUUGAGUAGAAUAAGGGAUCAUUCACUCGUUCCAGUGUAAUUAUGUUUGUCUUAAUCAUAUCAAAGGUAAAUAAUUUGGGUAAAUGAGGGUGUUGGGCCAUGUAUGAAGUAGAAUGUUGUUUUUGAAAUGUAUAUUCAAGACAGAAAUACCCAUUACAAGCAGAGAUUUGAUGUAUGGGAAUAAUUCAUUCUACUACGGCCUGACGUUUGUCAUGCUGUUAUUUGAAUACAUGUUUUCCUUUCAAACAUGGUCGUACAGAUUCUAUAAGAUUUCCCUCAGUUGGAUUAUAAUAAAUUAUUAUGAAUUAUUGAAGGGUUUGUUUGUAGAGGGAGUGAACGAGUAUGGUUUUAUGCCGCUUUUAGCAAUAUUCCUGUAAGAUCACAGCAGGGAAGACCAGAGAAUGGGCUUCAUACAUUGUACCCAUGUGGGGAAUUGAACCCGGGUCUUUAUCAUGACAAGCGAACACUUUAACCACGAGGCUACCCCACUGCCACCUCUAAUGUAGAAUACAACGUCUUCAUGUUUAAAAAAAAAUAGUGACAUACAAAAAAAAUUUUAGAAUGUCAUGUCAAUUUGAAAAAAACAACAUGCUAAUUUAAUAAUAAUAUGUGAUGCUCAAAAUAAAGUUUAUUUAAUCAAGUGGUGUGUUUGUACAUAUUGCUUCCUGAUGCAAAAACAUGCUGAUUUUUAUUUAGUUUUAUUAAAUACGUUGUUGUACGGCACAAAGCAUGUGACAUUUAAACAGUGUGAUGUUGUGAAAGUUUUUGACUUGAACUAUAUCUAAUGGCAUGUACAUAUCCCAGUUGAAUUUCAUAAUUUUAUUUUAUUGUGUUAGCUGUUAUGUUUCAGUUUUUCUCUUUCAUCAUCAAUUUAUAAUAGGCAUGUCAUGACUGUUGUUUUGUAGUCAUGUUAUAGUGAAUGUAGAUGCCACGCAUGAUUGGUGUGUGACAACAAGUCAAGCAAUAUGUGAUUAUUGAUAACUUGCACUGUUUUUUGUAAGGAAUUAAAUCAAAUAUAUAACUCUU
Molecule: unclassified non-coding RNA, 5527 nt
Filed under: Haliotis rufescens (red abalone)
Lineage: Eukaryota; Metazoa; Mollusca; Gastropoda; Lepetellida; Haliotidae
Description: rhomboid-related protein 2-like, transcript variant X1
Source: RNAcentral